GACGUAGGGCGCGAGCGUUGUCCGGAAUUAUUGGGCGUAAAGAGCUCGUAGGCGGUCUGUCGCGUCUGCUGUGAAAAUCCAGGGCUCAACCCUGGACCUGCAGUGGGUACGGGCAGACUAGAGUGCGGUAGGGGAGAUCGGAAUUCCUGGUGUAGCGGUGAAAUGCGCAGAUAUCAGGAGGAACACCGGUGGCGGAGGCGGAUCUCUGGGCCGUAACUGACGCUGAGGAGCGAAAGCAUGGGGAGCGAACAGG
RNAcentral lists this ribosomal RNA (253 nucleotides) under uncultured bacterium. RNAcentral's name for it is "partial 16S ribosomal RNA". It matches the Rfam family "Bacterial small subunit ribosomal RNA", at positions 524 to 776 of the family's 1533-position model. The record is from RNAcentral.